Molecule: ribosomal RNA, 194 nt
Filed under: uncultured Clostridium sp.
Lineage: Bacteria; Bacillati; Bacillota; Clostridia; Eubacteriales; Clostridiaceae
Also listed under: 2 other names
Description: partial 16S ribosomal RNA
Rfam family: Bacterial small subunit ribosomal RNA
Source: RNAcentral
CCUACGGGAGGCAGCAGUAGGGAAUCUUCCGCAAUGGGCGAAAGCCUGACGGAGCAACGCCGCGUGAGUGAAGAAGGUCUUCGGAUCGUAAAACUCUGUUAUUAGGGAAGAACAAAUGUGUAAGUAACUAUGCACGUCUUGACGGUACCUAAUCAGAAAGCCACGGCUAACUACGUGCCAGCAGCCGCGGUAAU